AAGGGACCUAGAACACACAAACUAACAUUGUCAUCCUAUCUGUAAACAUGCUAUAACAAUUACUCACCUGAAGAAGAGCUACCUGCAAUACAGGCAUGUACUACUAGAUUGCUUUCCUCUAACAGAUCCUACUAGCUGUGACCUCAAAAAGAUGUGCAUACCGGUCUCUACUUGGAAACACAUCAGUCCAUAGACUCCAACACACCCAAAGAACCCUGCAACUGACUGAAGGAAAAAGAAAGCACUUACCCCAAAGAGCAGCCCAGGCAGAAUGAGCUCUCUGAAGGCAUGUCUGGGGCUCAUAUACCAUUUGGCCCCACCCAGCACCCAAAGCUGAUCACCUGGGAAAGGGGAGGGGCAAAGCACAAGAAAGUAGAAAGAGAGCAGAAGAAGCAGCUGAUGUUUA
Long non-coding RNA from Oxyura jamaicensis (ruddy duck), 406 nucleotides. RefSeq lists it as uncharacterized. The record is from RefSeq and is a predicted model, not a curated record. NCBI's taxonomy places the organism in Eukaryota, Metazoa, Chordata, Aves, Anseriformes, Anatidae. The transcript is spliced from 3 exons.